GGUUGACCUCGGAUCAGGUAGGGAUACCCGCUGAACUUAAGCAUAUCAAUAAGCGGAAGAAAAGAAACCAACAGGGAUUGCCCCAGUAACGGCGAAUGAAGCGGCAAGAGCUCAAAUUUGAAAGCUGACUCCUUCGGGGUCCGCAUUGUAAUUUGCAGAGGAUGCUUCGGGAGCGGUCCCCAUCUAAGUGCCCUGGAACGGGACGUCAUAGAGGGUGAGAAUCCCGUAUGGGAUGGGGUGUCCGCGCCCGUGUGAAGCUCCUUCGACGAGUCGAGUUGUUUGGGAAUGCAGCUCUAAAUGGGUGGUAAAUUUCAUCUAAAGCUAAAUAUUGGCCGGAGACCGAUAGCGCACAAGUAGAGUGAUCGAAAGAUGAAAAGCACUUUGAAAAGAGAGUUAAAAAGCACGUGAAAUUGUUGAAAGGGAAGCGCUUGCGACCAGACUCGCUCGCGGGGUUCAGCCGGCAUUCGUGCCGGUGUAUUUCCCCGCGGGCGGGCCAGCGUCGGUUUGGGCGGUCGGUCAAAGGCCCUCGGAAGGUAACGCCCCCAGGGGCGUCUUAUAGCCGAGGGUGCAAUGCGACCUGCCUAGACCGAGGAACGCGCUUCGGCUCGGACGCUGGCAUAAUGGUCGUAAGCGACC
Molecule: ribosomal RNA, 636 nt
Filed under: Penicillium paradoxum
Lineage: Eukaryota; Fungi; Ascomycota; Eurotiomycetes; Eurotiales; Aspergillaceae
Description: eukaryotic LSU rRNA
Rfam family: Eukaryotic large subunit ribosomal RNA
Source: RNAcentral